Molecule: ribosomal RNA, 437 nt
Filed under: uncultured bacterium
Lineage: Bacteria
Description: bacterial SSU rRNA
Rfam family: Bacterial small subunit ribosomal RNA
Source: RNAcentral
UCAGGCCUAACACAUGCAAGUCGAACGGCAGCACGGGUGCUUGCACCUGGUGGCGAGUGGCGAACGGGUGAGUAAUACAUCGGAACGUACCUUAUCGUGGGGGAUAACGCAGCGAAAGUUGCGCUAAUACCGCAUACGCCCUGAGGGGGAAAGCGGGGGACCGUAAGGCCUCGCGCGAUUAGAGCGGCCGAUGUCUGAUUAGCUUGUUGGUGAGGUAAAAGCUCACCAAGGCGAUGAUCAGUAGCUGGUCUGAGAGGACGAUCAGCCACACUGGGACUGAGACACGGCCCAGACUCCUACGGGAGGCAGCAGUGGGGAAUUUUGGACAAUGGGGGCAACCCUGAUCCAGCAAUGCCGCGUGAGUGAAGAAGGCCUUCGGGUUGUAAAGCUCUUUUGUCAGGGAAGAAACAGCAGCUCUAACACAGUCUGCGAAUGAC